RNAcentral lists this ribosomal RNA (119 nucleotides) under Gossypium arboreum. Lineage: Eukaryota; Viridiplantae; Streptophyta; Magnoliopsida; Malvales; Malvaceae. The record is from RNAcentral.
GGGUGCGAUCAUACCAGCACUAAUGCACCGGCUCCCAUCAGAACUCCGCAGUUGAGCGUGCUUGGGCGAGAGUAGUAAUAGGAUGGGUGACCUCCUGGGAAGUCCUCGUGUUGCACCCC